This is a long non-coding RNA of Leopardus geoffroyi (Geoffroy's cat), 2396 nucleotides long. RefSeq lists it as uncharacterized. The record is from RefSeq and is a predicted model, not a curated record. Lineage: Eukaryota; Metazoa; Chordata; Mammalia; Carnivora; Felidae. The transcript has 3 exons.
UUCCUUUUGUAAUGAGACUUUCGUCAGGUUGCUUUUAGGAUCUUUCAUUAGUGUUCUACAGUUUCACUAUGAUGUGUCUAAGUGUGUAUUUUAUUUAUACUGGUUGAGAUUCAUUGGCCUUCUGAUUCUGAAAUGGCUUUUGUCUUGCAUUAGUUCUAGAAAAUUAUCUUUUUGGAUAAUUCUUCCUGGUUCAUUGGUUGUUGUUGGUUGGGUUUUUUUUUUUUUUUUUUUUUUUUUUUUUUAGUUUCCCAAGAAAACCUCCCUCCCUUUCAUAGUUUUGAUCUCUGCCACCUGUGCUGCAUUGCAUUUUGCCUAAUUUCCUCAGAUCUUUCUUCCAGUUUGUUAAUGAUCUGGUCAACUGUGUCUAAUUUGCUCUUAAACCUCCAUUGAGUUUCUUCUUUCAAUUAUUUUUCUUUUCAUCUUUGAUGAUUUAUUUUUCUUUUACCAUUUUUCAAUGCCAACUUGUAUUCUUUAAACUUAUUUUAUAUUCUAUUUUGAAUCCAUCUACUUCUGUGCCACCACCAUUCUUGCCCAGCUGGUAGAUGUGUGGACAAAGGAAGAGGUACAGGUAUCUUUCGAGUAUCCUAAAGAGGUCAUGUGGGAAGUAAAUGUGCUUCCAGUACCACUGCUAACACAGGAGCAAUCCCAAAUCGGAUUCACCUCUGCAGUAAAAAGGCUUUAAUCAGGUGUGUGUCUAGAAGAAAGCAUCGGCAUAGCAAUAUCACCAGCUAGACUCUCCACAGCUCUCUAAAGUGAACAUGGCAAGACUAAAACAUUCUGCUGAGUCCUGAAAGGCUUCCUUUGGUAUAUAUAUUUAAGAAGGUAUUGGUUAAAGCCAUUCCCUAUUGCUAAACUUUAUGUUAUCAAAUUGAGGAAAAUAUGGACCUUUCUAAAGUUACCAAAUUAAAAAAAUCACCUUGAUGGAAAACAAGGAAGGUUUUUUUUUUUUUUUUCUCUUUCAUGUUGCAUUUUUAAGUAAAAUGAAACAGAAAUCAGAUUUAAAUAAAAGGAAUGAUUGAGAAUGUUGGCUAGUCUUUGAAAUGUUGUUAUUGACCUUAGUGUUCAAUUCCUUUAUCAUGUGAAAUUGAUUUAGUGUAAUCGAAAUGUUCCAAUUUUCUUUACUUAGAGUGUCUUGGAUAUUGCCUUCAGAAAUGCAAAAAUCAAAGAAUUACUGUCCUGUUUAUUCCACCUCCCAUCCCCACUCAAAUCCAUACUUCUUAUCACUACUGAUUCUGUAACUUAGACCCCAAACCUUCAUAUUUUCUUCCCUGUCCUUUUGCUCCCCUAAUCGAAACAAUUUCCCUCUUAAUAAUAACUUAGUGGUUAAGCACUAGGUUUGAGUCCUUUGCCAGUUAAUAAAUUUUUAUGGCCUUGGGCAAGUUACUUAACCUCUCUAAAGACUUUUUCUAGUACUUAUUUUGUAGGUUUAUGGGAUUAAAUGAAACAAAUUCAUGUAAACAACACAGUGCCUGCACUCAAUACGUGUUAGCUACCACUCACUCUUCCCCUCUUUUUAAAAAAUUAGUUAAUUAAUUAUUUGUUAUUUUGAGACAGCAUGCAAGAAUGCACAGGAGGGGCAGAGAGAGGGAAAGAGAGAAUCCCAAGCAGGUUCUGCACUGUGAUCAUGACCUGAGUCAAAAUAAAAAGUUGGAGGUUUAACCAACUGAGCCACCCAGCCACCCCCUACUCUUCCCCUCUUGUCCCUUCCUUUCCUUACCCUCCCUUGCCUCCUCUCCCCAUCCUCCUUUCUUCUGCUUCCCUACAUCCCUCUGCCUUUCUUCCUCCUCUUUGAGUGAAUGCUUAGCACAGGGUAAGCACUCAACAAAAUGAUAGUCUUCAUUGUUGUCUCCAUGAAUCAAGCCUUCAUCAUUUCUCCCCUGGAAAACUGAAUUUAGUUCAUUGGUCCUCAUUCCCUAUUUAUAUAUCCUUCACAGAAAAGUUGUAUAUCUUUAAUUUGAAUUUGUGAAAGUAUAGUUUUUAAAUCAAAUCAUGUAUUUAGGAUUAGAAAGUGAAAUAUUGUAAAAACCACUGUUAGUAACUAUUAUGCUUUUGCUUUCUGAUUGUAUUUGUCUUCAUAUAGAUGCUUCCUAUAGUCACUGUCUUCAUAUAGACUUGUUUUGAAGAUUUUAAAAUUACUUUGAGAAUAUAUAUAGACUGUUUUGCUUAAGAAGACUACUAUGUACCAGGCAAUAUGACUUAAAUGCUUUGCAUACAUUAUCCUAUUUAAUUCUCAGUAACCUAUGAGAUGUUUAAUAUUAUUACCACCUAUUUUACAAAGAAGAAAUCAAACCAAGAGUUAUGCUCAAGGUCAUACAGCUAUAAACAGUAGAGAAGACUUUGAACCUAGAUGGUCUGAUUCCAAAGACUAUGCUCCUAAACACUAGUUUAUACUGCCC